Long non-coding RNA from Prunus dulcis (almond), 814 nucleotides. RefSeq lists it as uncharacterized. The record is from RefSeq and is a predicted model, not a curated record. NCBI's taxonomy places the organism in Eukaryota, Viridiplantae, Streptophyta, Magnoliopsida, Rosales, Rosaceae. The transcript has 2 exons.
GCCUCAGCCCCUUAAUUAUAAAACCAUCCUCGCGCACGACUUUUCCCCCAAAAAAUGUUAGGAUUCUGAAAUUUGGGGAAAAGGCUGGUCGAUUUCGAGUUAUAGCUUUCGAUUCAGAUUCAAUCGAUGAAGAUUUGAUAGGCAAAGUCACGAUUUGAAAGGGAAUCAUCAAUUUCAUGUAGGAAUUCAUCCAUUUUUAGGUUUGCAGAUGUCUACUUCAUCUUCUCAUAGAUUGAGGUGCCCUUUAUAUGGAGCUAAAAUGAAAUUACUUCUAUCAACUACAGAACAACAUUACAACAAAUAUUUCUAGAAGUGUACAAGGAAAUAUGCAAGGCAUGGUUUUGAAUCAGUUUUAUUUUAUGAUAUGGAUAUUGUGGUUAUGCAAAGUGGUUGUAUGAUGUAGGGAAGUGUUGGAUGCCAAGAUUUUGUAUGGUGCGAUGAUGUUGACAACACAAAAGGGAGGGAAGAUAUCAUCUUUAGAGACUUGCAAUGGAUGGAAAACAAUGGUAGCAAGGACAUGGUGUUUCAAUCUGUGCAGCUACAAGUUGGAGAUUUUUGAAUAUGUUGAAAGGAAUAAAAGAGAUGUUGUUGAUCAUUUGUAUCUUGAUUGCUGUCAAUGUGGUUUUCAAUUUAGUUAAAAAAAUGAGAUGCUUAGAUGGUGCUUCAAUUUGGGUAAAGGCAUGUUUUGGUUGUAACAUUCUGCUCAAACGUUUUGGUUGUAACAUUGUGAUCAAAAUUUAGGGAAAGACAUGUCUCAGAGGUUGUAAAUUUCUAGUCAUGAAAUGAAAACAUUCAGCUCUUGUUUUGGUUGUUA